This 760-nucleotide ribosomal RNA is filed under the name Bacillus aerius. RNAcentral's name for it is "bacterial SSU rRNA". It matches the Rfam family "Bacterial small subunit ribosomal RNA", at positions 289 to 1041 of the family's 1533-position model. Lineage: Bacteria; Bacillati; Bacillota; Bacilli; Caryophanales; Bacillaceae. The record is from RNAcentral.
GACUUGAGAGGGUGAUCGGCCACACUGGGACUGAGACACGGCCCAGACUCUACGGGAGGCAGCAGUAGGGAAUCUUCCGCAAUGGACGAAAGUCUGACGGAGCAACGCCGCNUGAGUGAUGAAGGUGUUCGGAUCGUANAGCUCUGUUGUUAGGGAAGAACAAGUGCAAGAGUAACUGCUUGCACCUUGACGGUACCUAACCAGAAAGCCACGGCUAACUACGUGCCAGCAGCCGCGGUAAUACGUAGGUGGCGAGCGUUGUCCGGAAUUAUUGGGCGUAAAGGGCUCGCAGGCGGUUUCUUAAGUCUGAUGUGAAAGCCCCCGGCUCAACCGGGGAGGGUCAUUGGAAACUGGGAAACUUGAGUGCAGAAGAGGAGAGUGGAAUUCCACGUGUAGCGGUGAAAUGCGUAGAGAUGUGGAGGAACACCAGUGGCGAAGGCGACUCUCUGGUCUGUAACUGACGCUGAGGAGCGAAAGCGUGGGGAGCGAACAGGAUUAGAUACCCUGGUAGUCCACGCCGUAAACGAUGAGUGCUAAGUGUUAGGGGGUUUCCGCCCCUUAGUGCUGCAGCUAACGCAUUAAGCACUCCGCCUGGGGAGUACGGUCGCAAGACUGAAACUCAAAGGAAUUGACGGGGGCCCGCACAAGCGGUGGAGCAUGUGGUUUAAUUCGAAGCAACGCGAAGAACCUUACCAGGUCUUGACAUCCUCUGACAACCCUAGAGAUAGGGCUUUCCCUUCGGGGACAGAGUGACAGGUGG